RNAcentral lists this long non-coding RNA (11258 nucleotides) under Daucus carota (carrot). Its description in RNAcentral is "long non-coding RNA (DCAR_LNC006367)". Lineage: Eukaryota; Viridiplantae; Streptophyta; Magnoliopsida; Apiales; Apiaceae. The record is from RNAcentral.
AUCAUCAAAACAUAUUGGAUAUCUUAUAAAUUAAAUUCAUUUAUCACUUAUAAUUUAAACAGUCUCAUAAUUUAGUUUUGGCGAAAGUUCACACCAGAAAGAAAAAUCCCAUGGAGGUAAAAAAAAUAAAAAUGGUUCUGCUGAAUGUUCCUGUGAAGAGCAAAUAAGUAGUCAGUCCUGCACGGCUUCUUCACGUUGUGUCCCCACACACAAGUCACACAACUGAGAACAUACUCCAUCUGUCUCAGUCAAUUGGAGGCGUUUCUUUUUCACUGCAUGCAUUUUAAGACUCCUAUAUAACAAGCUACCAGAUUCCCUAAUGAUUUUCUCCAUGACAUCGCAGUAGAAGUAAAUCCAACUAUUCCACCUACAAUCAAUAACAAAGAAUUAGACCACGAAAUCGACUAUGCACAGAGUACACACUCUCAAUCCAAGAUCAACAUAACCAUUUCACUAAGCUUAUUCUGACUUAUAAGUCAAAACUCCAGGAUCAAGAUAACUACUUAACUAAGCUUGUUAGUGUGUGUAAAGACAGAGCAAUGCUAGUACCCCAUGGGAGGAGUAUUGCCUGUUGGAAUAUUUGUUUAAUCUAAACUUGUGUUAAAAUAAAUUAUUGUUAGCAGGUGGUUUAGUUUGUAUGUAUUAGCAGGAGAGAUAUGAUAGGAGAGUCAUGGGUAGUUGAAGUAUUUUAGGAGUCCACUACGUUAGUUGCUAUUUUUGUGUUACCACCUUGUGCCUGUAGUUCUAUUUAAAUUGCAUGUAUCUUGUUUAGUUCAUUAUUAGAAGAAGAGAAUACAAUGUAGUCUUUAUGUAUCUUCUCCGUUUAUUCAUAUAAAACUACAAUCUCUAUAUCCUUAUUAUUAUUUUUAUCAAAUUUCAACAUGGUACCAGAGCUUGGGGGAGUAUCAAUGUGACGCCCCCAGAUCCGCAUUCCGCAGAUUUGGUCCAUCACUAUANUGUGACGCCCCCAGAUCCGCAUUCCGCAGAUUUGGUCCAUCACUAUACAUCUGGCCCAAAACAAAACUUCCAUUACAUAUUUAAGAUUACACAAUCCAACUCUUGCCCCACAAGUCCAGGGUCGAUCGUCUUACAACAUUACUAUCAGGUCUAUCUUGAUUACAUAUUUGCAAGUCCGAUUACAGACCAUUAUAAUAACUAUAGUUGUACUACCAAACAACGUAGUCUAGCAGCCUCAGCUUGUGUGAUGAGCCUUUUCCUUGCCUAUGCCAAAACCCGUUUCCGGGCAAAUCUCUUGGGUUGUGCCAAUCUCACUGCUCAAAAGAAUAUAAAGUAGAUACAAGAAUGAGCAAUCAAAUUGCUCAGCAAGUCAACAUAUCACAGAAUAACAAAUAACAAGAUAUGCAAAUAAGCCAUCGAAAGCAUAUCAAAUCAAAGCAACAAAACAGUUAUCAUCAAACGACAAAACAAUGUCAAGUAAAGGAACUGCUGGUCUUCCACCUCUCGGUAACACUACAUGGCUCGAUCAACACCAUUUCGUGAAUACCGUUCUCCUGUGUAGUCCUAGUGGUCUGAUCGUAACCACUGAAGACACACCAACACUCUCUUUGCUAGCAUCAGGGUUUAACACUGGAACCCCACUAUCUGCCUUACCAGAUAGUAAAUUUCAACUCUACCACGAAUUUAAUAAAUUCGUGUUGACCAGCUUGAACCGAUUCCUCCGAAUACAAGGAAAUUUUCCCAAACAAACACUUCUCAAUCAUCACUGCUAAUUUUUAUCAAAAAAGUGCGAACAAUGCACCCUUUCGUCAUUACAAAGAUUACCCGAAGGUAGAAGUGAAAGAUAAUUAAAAUAAUUAGAUUCCAAAAGAUAAGAUGAUCUCCAAAAAGAGUAAAUUGAGAUCAUCGCUGCCAAGUAUUCACAUCAAGCUUCGAAGAUUCAAAAUAUUAUCGUUAUAGGAUCAACUCAUUCCCGAACAAUGGGAGAGCUCGAAUUAUAUAAAAUAAUAUGUGAGCAAUAUCUUUAAAGCCUUCAAAAUGAAGCAGAGAUAUUUUCUCGAUUCACAAUGAUACGAAAUGUAAUAUUUUCACAAUCAACACUUUUCACAAAAUAUGAAAUAGGCACGAAAAACUUCACAUCAAGACAGGGAUAGUGAACUUGCCUGUCGUCCUUAGCUUGAUAAUAUUCUUGUAAUUAUCACGUAUAAUCGGUUUCAUCCUUCCGAAUAUUCAAUUUCUAAUUCACGUAAAAUAAUACUUUAAUAUCUCAUCAAAGAAAACAAAAAUGCCAAAAUAAUCUAUAUUAUGAAUCCGACAAAUAAUAUUAAGAAUUUGAUAGGAUAUCUAUCUCAUUUUCUUUUACACUGUAAACUAACAUAUUGUAUGUGUACAUGUAGUAGAUACACUUAUUUAAGUCCAGAGCCUAACUUUCUUUUAUCAACUACUAAAUAAAUCGUUUAUAUAGUCCAUAUUUGAUUAUUUAUUAAUGCUAUCUCUAUUUAAUUUUUAAACAAUUAUUCCACUUAUAUUUCGUUCCCCACAUUCCAUUUCUACUAAUCCAAGAAAUUUGUGGUUCAUCAUCACUUAUUCAUAUUUACUAAAUAAACAUCUAUCUGUCUAUUUAACAUCAAAAUCCUACACUCUCUAAUUAAUUCUACGUAUUCCUUUACCAACACUUAUUCACCAACCCAUUUAAUAAAUCGAUAAAUUAAAUAUAAAAAUCAUCUCCGCAUCCCCAAUUUAUUACCUCACAAUUAUUUUUAAUAAAUUCAUUUUAUAUUCUUAACUCAAAAUUAUUAUUAUUAUCAUUAUUCUCUCUCACAAAAUUUUAAUAUAUACCACCCCUCUCCCUUCUUCCUUUCCAUUGCCUCACACCUCCUCCUUUAACAACCUAUUCUGCUUAAUCAAUCAGCACAACCAAAACAGUUAAGUUAUUUAACCAAACUCAAAAUUCUUAAAUAGAAGACAUAAAACUCGUGUAUUAAUUAUUUUCAUGGCUCCUAUUUAAAUAGCUUUUAUUGAAUAAAAGAUGGGCUAUAAAUAUUCAAUAUUACCAUUAAUCAAAGAUAGAAAGAGAAUAUACCUUGAUGAUGGAUUCUGAUUCUUCUUUACUGUCUUGAGUUUUACUUGCUUUGGUACCUCCUGAAUUUGCCAAACUAAAACUAAACAACGUGUUUGGUAUUUAUACUAAUCAUAAAUCAUGGUUAAGAUUUAAUUUACCUUGGUUAACAAUUACUUGGGCACUACUCUUUGGUUUUUAAGUACCUGGUUUUGAUAAACCAAUGUGCCACAAACCACCCCAUUAGUCGGUUAGCUAGUUUUGUUAAAAUAUUUUUUUUUUAUUUAUUUAUAUAUUCUUUUUAUUUGCCCGUAUAUUAAAUGUUUCGCAACUGGAAAUAUUUUAGCCCCGGGUCAUUUAACAACUUCCUAUUUAAAUAUUUUAAUAAAAAAUAUCAUUCGGGAUUAUACUAAAUAAUUAAUUAAAUAAUUAUUCUAGUAUUUCUCUAAAUAUUUCAAAAUUUAAUAGUUAUAACGAAAUAUUUCUUUUAGCUAAACCCGUAAAAUUUAUAAUAUUCCCGGGCCAUAACAAAAUUAUACAUCUACCAAUUUAUUUACGUGGCCAACAUUUAGAUCCUAAUGGUACGAAAAUGGAUUUAAUUUGCUAGCCGAUAUAAACAAACCUCGUACUAGCCUGAAAUGUUUUACGUACCAAUAUUUUUAUUAAAUAAUAAUUUCACAAUUAUUUAAAUGAUAGCUUUAACCGCAUAAAAUUAAAUAAUUAAUUUGUUUACGUACUUGAAAUUUUACGGUUGUUACAUUCUUCCCUCGUUUAAAGGAUUCCGACCUCGGAAUCAGAUUUGAUGCUGAAACAACUCGGGAUACUUCUCUUUCAUUACUUCUUCCAGUUCCCACGUGGCUUCUUCUACAGUUUGAUUUCCCCAAAUUACUUUAAACAUUUUCACUUUCUUAUUUCUUAAUUCCUGAAACUUAGACUCCACAAUUUCCAAAGGCUUUUUUUUUUCAUAUGUUAAAUCAGACUGAAGGUUAAUCGGCUCCUAAUUUAGAACAUGCUGAAUAUCAGUCUUGUAAGCUUUCAAAAGAGAUACAUGAAAUACAUCAUGAAUAUGUUGUAGAUCUGGAGGUAAAGCUAAUUGAUAAGACACGACUCCAACUUUUCUUAGAAUCUCGAAGGUUUCGAUUUAUCUUGGAUUCAAUUUUCUUUUCUUUCCAAACCUGAUUAUUCCUUUCCAAGAUGAUACUUUCAAAAGUAUUUUUCCCCAACUUCAAAUGUCAUUUCUUUUCUUCCUAAGUCUGCAUAUUUCUUUUGCCUGUCUUGAGCUUCAACUAACCUUUUGUGUAUCUUCUCGAUCAAUUGUGUAGUUUGCUGAACAAGUUCCGGUCUUAAUAACUUUUUCUCUCCCACUUCCUCCCAAACAAGAGGCGAUCUACAUUUUCUACCAUAUAAUGUCCAUAAGGCGCCAUUCCAAUAUUAGCAUGGUAGCUGUUAUUGUAUGCAAACUCCACCAAAGGCAAGUGAUCAUCCCAACUUCCUUUAAAAUCUAAUGAACAAUUAAUAACUUUUUCUCUCCCACUUCCUCCCAAACAAGAGACGAUCUACAUUUUCUACCAUAUAAUGUUCCAUAAGGCGCCAUUCCAAUACUAGCAUGGUAGCUGUUAUUGUAUGCAAACUCCACCAAAGGCAAGUGAUCAUCCCAACUUCCUUUAAAAUCUAAUGAACAAGCUCUUAACAUAUCCUCUAUAGUUUGUAUUGUUCUUUUACUUUGCCCAGCUGUUUGUGGGUGAUAUGCAGUUCUCAAAUUAAGCUUAGUCCCAAAACACUCUUGAAAAGCUUGCCAGAAUCUUGAAGAAAAUCUUGCAUCUCUGCUUGAAACAAUUGACACUGACACUCCAUGUCUGGUCACGACCUCAUUCAUAUAUAGCUUUACUAAUCUCUUCAUGGUGUACUUUUCACUAAUAGGAAGAAAAUAUGCUAAUUUCGUCAACCUAUCUACAAUUACCCAAAUAGCAUCAUGAUUAGCUCGAGUCUUUGGCAAUCUAACUAUAAAGUCCAUGGUGAUGUGUUCCCAUUUCCAUUCUGGAAUCUCUAAUGGCCGCAAUAAUCCGUUAGGUCUUUGGUGCUCUGCUUUCACUUUUUGACAAGUCAGACAUUUACUCACCCACUCAGCUAUUUCUCUUUUCAUGUUAGGGGACUAAUAGUUUCUCUUAAAUUAUUGGUACGUCUUAGUACUUUCCUGGUGUAUUGAAUAUCUCGAUUCAUGAGCUUUACUAAAAAAUAUCUCUUUUAAGAUCAAACAGGUUAGGAAUCCAAAUUCUUUUAGCAAAUCUCAUAAUUCCUUUCUCAUAUUUCACUUAAAUUCUCAUCGUUAGUAAAUUCAAAAUGUCUUUCUUUAAUUAUCAACUCUUGAAUUUGUUUUAUUAUUUUCAAGUAUCUCUGGCUGCACUUAUAUCUCAAAAAUCCUUCCAUCCUUAUGCUCUGAAUCCUUAAUCUUCAAUCCUAGAUUUUCCAUAUUCUUAAUCAAUUUCUUUAAUCAAGACAUCACAUUAAUUCUCUCCUUUCUACUUGACGCGUCAUCAACUACCUUAGCCUUCCCUGGGUGAUAGUUAAUUGUACAAUCAUAGUCUUUUAUCAAUUAUAACCAUCUACUUUGUCUCAUAUUCAAUUCUUUCAGAGCAAACCGUAUUUUUAAGUUCUUACGAUCCGUAAAUAUCUCACACUUCUCACCAUACAAGGAAUGUCGCCAAAUCUUUAAAGAAAACAUUAUAGCAGCUAACUCUAGGUCAUGUGGGGUAUCUCAGCUCGUGAGCCUUAAGUUCCCUAGAAGCAUAUGCUAUCAUCUCUCCAUGUAUGUAUAAGAACACAUCUAAGUCCUUGAUGAGAUGCAUCGCUAUAAACCCACAAAAUAUCAUGUCUCAUUAUGUAAGGUUAAUACAAGGGCCAUUGUAAGCCGCUUCUUUAAUUCUUGAAAACUUUCCUCGUACUCAGGUAUCCACUCAAAAUUCUCUUCGUUUCUAGUCAACUUAGUCAAAGAAGUCUCAAUCUUAAAGAAAUCUUUCAAAAAUAUUUUAUAAUAUCCUGCUAAAUCAAGAAAACUUCUCACUUUGGUUGGGGUUCUUAGUCUUUUCCAAUUUGAUAAUGCCUCAAUCUUCGCGGGUAUACCAAUAUUCCUUUCUUAAAAACUAUAUGCCCUUAAAAACUAUACUUGCUUUAUCAAAAUUCUCAUUUUGAAAAUUUUGCAGAUAACUUUUCUUUCCUCAAAAUUUUCUAAGUUACUCUAAGAUGCUCAACAUGUUUUUCUUUCGUCUGAGAAUAUAUUAUAUAUCAUCAAUAAAACAAUAACGAACUUAUCCAAAUAUUUCUUCAAUACUCUAUUCAUAAGAUCCAUAAUUGUUAUAGGUGCAUUAGUCAAUCCGAAAGGCAUCUCUUAAGAACUCACAAUGUUCAUGUCGGGGCCUAAAGACCGUCUUAGGUACAUUCUCAGACCCGAUUCUGUAACUGAUGAUAUCCAGAUCUCGUGUCUAUCUUAAAAAAAUAAGAUGCUUUCCUCAACAACUAAAACAAUCAUCAACCCUAGGCAAGGGUCAUCUUGUUAAAUCUCAAUAAUCGAUGUAACAACCCUCAAAUCCGGGGGUCUGGAUUUGACACCUCCAUACAACACCUUUACAAAACAACUUAGGAAAAAUUGCGUUUUUGAAAAGAACAAAAUCAAACAAUUUGAUAUCUGAGCAUUUCGAGAAGAAUUUAAAGGAAAUCGGAAUUUUUUUAAAACUCUCUUGGACAUAUAGAAGUCUUUCACAAUGGUAUCACUGAUCACUGAGUUUUCAAAGUAGCUCUCAUUUGAAAUAAAAGGAUGAUUGGGAGCCCAAUACGAUCAAAUGAACUAAGUGUUGCGUGUCCAAAUUAAGACACUACUAAAGGUUGUUAACCUUCUUGUAAUUACAACACACACACAAGUGAUGGCGUCCCAUCCAACUCCUAUCACACAGAUAGGUAUACCUUGUGUCCCCUAUAAUUAGGGUUGUUCAUCCCAAUCAGAUUGAAGAAAUAUCAAGGAAUAUUUAUUUCAAAGAUUUGCUUUUGAAUCGUUAUUUCACAAUUUGGGCAACCUUGAUCUACCAUAAUUAUUUCUCAACACACUUCUUCCAAGGAAUGCGAGCAAUGCAUCCUUUAAUCACAAUUCAAGGAUUUUCAGUGGAUAAAAUAAGAAAUAGGAUCAAAUAUGAGACGAUCUCUUAGAAUUAUUAUAUUGAGAUCAUCAUUGUGGUGUAUAUUUAUUCCAAUUCUCGACUAUUAAAUCAUGAAUCACAAAAGAUAAGACGAUCUCUUAGAAUUAUUAUAUUAAGAUCAUCAUUGUGGUGUAUAUUUAUUCCAAUUCUCGACUAUUAAAUCAUGAAUCACAAAAGAUUUUGUAACAUCAAAGAAAUAUUGAUUAUUAGGAGUAGUCGCUUCCGAACAAAGAAAGGACUCAAGAUACAUCAUAAACUUCUCAGUUUUCAAAAUGAGAAAUGAUGUCAACUUGAGCAGAAACAGUGUGAAAUGUAAUAUUAUUCAUAAAUAGCGUAUUCCACAGAUCCGUACUCAAGCAACGAGAGUCUUCCUUAUAACACAUUUGCGGUUUGCGAAAUUCUACAUCUUUGAUUUGCUUCUACUUUACCUAUAUCCUUCACUCGCGACAUCUCUUACAAAAGGUUUCUUCACAACAUAAGUCCAAGGUUUCUUUCCAUCAUUUUGAUUAUUUUGCGUGGGUUUCCGCCUUCGACUAACUUACUUUUUGGUUAAACAACUCACUAAUACAAGCUUUGUGCACUAAUGUCGCAUAACUAGAAAUCUCGAGAACAACAACUCUAUUCUAAAUCCAGGGGUUUAAGCCCGGCUGAAAAACGUCUAGUUUUUCAGUUUUUUUUUUUUUUUUUUCGGUAUAUACUUGAUGCGGAAUAAAUUUCGAAAGUUCGAUAAACUUAGCUUCGUACUCAGCUAUUGACAUAUUCUCUUGCUUGAGCUUUAGCAAUUUGAGCUCCAUUUGAUUCUCUAGGUGUUUAGGUAAAUACUUUUCUAGGAAUAACUUUGUAAACCUGGUCCAUGACAUCACGCUAGAAUCUUCUAGGACUUGCUUAACUUCCCACCAAUAAUUAGACUCUUCAUAAACAUCAAAAUUAAUUUUCUUAUCAUCUUCUAUACCAACUAUUUCAAAAUCUUAGCCAUAUCUUGGCUUCAACAGGAUCAACAUCCCCUUUUAAACUCUUGUGGUGGCAAAAAUUUGAAAGAUUUGAAUGAAAAGGUAGGUUUUGACUCGAAGAAUUUCUUUCGGGAUUGUUUUGAAAAUUUUAGGUAUGUUGUUGAAGAAAAUCAACAAGUAAUUGAACAGGAUUGGGUCUGGGUUGAAAUCCAGGUGAAGCAUCUAGUAUUGAUUCAUAAAAAGAGUUGUCAUUCAGGUUCGAAUUCAAAUAUAUAAAAGUGAACAAAAUAGGUUUCAUCAUUAUACAAAAUUACAAGAUUUAUUUAAAGGUACAACAAUGUGCAAUUUUGAAAAAUUCACAGUAUAUAAUUUUUGAAAACAGGUUCCACAUUUUGGUUGAAAAUACAAGUUGUACCAAAGUUGCAUAUUUUUGAAAACUUUUAGAAACUUUAAAGGUUGUACCUUUUCUUUUGAAAACUCUAAAACUUUAGAAACUUGAACGUUUCUCUUUUUUUUUUUUUUUUUUUUUUGAAAACCUCGAAAAAGAAAAAAAAAACUUUAAAAGGUUGAGUAAAUAUAAUCAUAAAAAUUUCACAUUGGAUCAUUGAGGUAGCAGAUGCAAGAUAGGUUGACAGGAGUGAAACAGGUUAAAAGUAGUUGACAAGUGCAAGAAGCAUAGGGAAAGUAUAGACAAAGAAAGAGACACCAAUAUGACAACAAGAUUGAUCAUUCUUCCCAAAGUGGUCAUAAUAUCUGAAGCUUUUAGAGUACAAGUCAUGAUAUAGAAGUAUAUCUGAUCUGGUCAUCACCCUACUAUAUCAAAUUUAAUCUGGACACCACUAUACAAAAGAUCACUUUAUAUAAAUCUCUACUACCAAAAUGAUCUACUGAUCGAAACUGUAGCAUCUGUUUCUCAAUAAAAGGAAGUGAACAAUUCUCCAUCCCGAUACUAUACAAAAGUAUCUACAUAUCCUCUAUAAUAUACCAUAAUUGAGAUACACACGGACUACAUGUGUUCUUUCCCAAAAGUCAAAUUAUACUUACAUAUCCUCUAGAUACAUAAUAUACCAUAAUUGAGAUACACACGGACUACAUGUGUUCUUUCCCAAAAGUCAAAUUAUACUUAAAACAACAAAUAUAUCAACCAGAUAUCCCUGAGAUCCUACGGUGGAACUCUGAAAAGGUUCUAUUUAUCAGUGUUGUAAAAAGUUUAACAUUUACAUAUCCUGAGCUGAUGGAGGGUAUUUCACAGAUAUUAGCAUGAAGUCCCUCAAAUAUAGAAAUAGAAAUUUUAUACAUAAUCCCCCAUGCUAAAUACUCGGGUCAAAAAUCCUGAACCCGCAGAACAAANAUGCUAAAUACUCGGGUCAAAAAUCCUGAACCCGCAGAACAAACAUAGGGUCGUGAGAUCCUGGAAUCCAAACUCUAGAGUCAUAAGUAGACUCUCUCAACAACUGGUAUUGAUGGAACAAAGAAAGUGGCACAUAGUCGCCACCUGAUGGUACAGAAACUGGUGCGUCGAAAGAUCCACUAAUUUGACAAAGAGUGGUCUGAGGUGCAGAAACUGAAAUGGUGGAUAUGAAAGUAAAUGGUACACAAGUCUUUGACAUGGUAGUAAAAAAAAAAGUGUAAUUCGAACUCGAGGUUCAGAUAUGGUGUAAACAUGGGGGUGACCCCUCAAAGGUGUUAUAGAAGCAUUUCCAAUCAAAGAUGACACAACGGUCCCAAAAUGAUAACUAUCAAAAGUAUGUGUGAUAAUAGGUCUAUAAGAAAGAGGUGUAGGCUCGAAAUGCCGAAACAAGUCCAAAAUGGAAGGGUCUCAACUCUCAUAAACAGGUGGGGAAACAGUACCGAUGGAAGUCGAAAAGGAAGUGGUCAAAGUAGGAACACAAGUCAACUCACGUAAGGAUGGAAAGAUUUUCAUCCAUUGCUCUUAGUAAACUCAAAAGAUUCUCUAUCCUUGAUCUCCUUCAUUGCUCUUAGUAAACUCAAAAGAUUCUCUAUCCUUGAUCUCCUUAGAUACCAGGUUAAUGAUCUCAGGUGAUGAUGACUCUAAUAUCUGUAUAGAAGUAUUCUCAUACUCGCUAUCUAUCAUCUCAAUAUCCAUCGGUGGAUUAAAAUCAGCCUCGUAACCUGACAUCUAUACAAAAACAUCAUUACUAAUAGUCACAUCUACGAUUGCUCAUAACUAUAAAUAUUUAUAUAUAUAGGGUCUACUACCCUUUGCUAAAAGUUUACUUAACACGUAUGCAAUAUAACAUAAGAAGAUAUGUUCAACUAGGGCACCUAUCUUAAACUUCAUAUCAUUCUCGCUCGUUAUAUUCCUAGGGUUUCUCAAAUCCUAAGGAUAUAACUAUAGCUCUGAUACCAACUCUGUGACGCCCCCAGAUCCGCAUUCCGCAGAUUUGGUCCAUCACUAUACAUCUGGCCCAAAACAAAACUUUCAUUACAUAUUUAAGAUUACACAAUCCAACUCUUGCCCCACAAGUCCAGGGUCGAUCGUCUUACAACAUUACUAUCAGGUCUAUCUUGAUUACAUAUUUGCAAGUCCGAUUACAGACCAUUAUAAUAACUAUAGUUGUACUACCAAACAACGUAGUCUAGCAGCCUCAGCUUGUGUGAUGAGCCUUUUCCUUGCCUAUGCCAAAACCCGUUUCCGGGCAAAUCUCUUGGGUUGUGCCAAUCUCACUGCUCAAAAGAAUAUAAAGUAGAUACAAGAAUGAGCAAUCAAAUUGCUCAGCAAGUCAACAUAUCACAGAAUAACAAAUAACAAGAUAUGCAAAUAAGCCAUCGAAAGCAUAUCAAAUCAAAGCAACAAAACAGUUAUCAUCAAACGACAAAACAAUGUCAAGUAAAGGAACUGCUGGUCUUCCACCUCUCGGUAACACUACAUGGCUCGAUCAGCACCAUUUCGUGAAUACCGUUCUCCUGUGUAGUCCUAGUGGUCUGAUCGUAACCACUGAAGACACACCAACACUCUCUUUGCUAGCAUCAGGGUUUAACACUGGAACCCCACUAUCUGCCUUACCAGAUAGUAAAUUUCAACUCUACCACGAAUUUAAUAAAUUCGUGUUGACCAGCUUGAACAGAUUCCUCCGAAUACAA